GGGUUUGAUCAUGGCUCAGGAUGAACGCUAGCGGGAGGCUUAACACAUGCAAGUCGAGCGGGAGGGGUAGCAAUACCCCAAGAGCGGCGCACGGGUGCGUAACGCGUAUGCAACCUGCCUUAUACAAAGGGAUAGCCCAUGGAAACGUGGAUUAAUAUCUUAUAGGACUUAUGAAUCGCAUGGUUUAUAAGUUAAAACUACGGUGGUAUAAGAUGGGCAUGCGUCUGAUUAGGUAGUUGGUAGGGUAACGGCCUACCAAGCCGACGAUCAGUAGGGGUUCUGAGAGGAUUACCCCCCACACUGGUACUGAGACACGGACCAGACUCCUACGGGAGGCAGCAGUGAGGAAUAUUGGUCAAUGGGCGAGAGCCUGAACCAGCCAUCCCGCGUGCAGGAUGACGGCCCUAUGGGUUGUAAACUGCUUUUCUGCUCCAAGAAACCUGAUUACGUGUAAUCAGUUGACGGUAGAGUAGGAAUAAGCAUCGGCUAACUCCGUGCCAGCAGCCGCGGUAAUACGGAGGAUGCAAGCGUUAUCCGGAUUCAUUGGGUUUAAAGGGUGCGCAGGUGGGAAUGUAAGUCAGUGGUGAAAUACUGCCGCUUAACGGUAGA
This 609-nucleotide ribosomal RNA is filed under the name uncultured bacterium. RNAcentral describes it as "bacterial SSU rRNA". It matches the Rfam family "Bacterial small subunit ribosomal RNA", at positions 9 to 619 of the family's 1533-position model. The record is from RNAcentral.